This 497-nucleotide ribosomal RNA is filed under the name uncultured bacterium. RNAcentral describes it as "partial 16S ribosomal RNA". It matches the Rfam family "Bacterial small subunit ribosomal RNA", at positions 28 to 507 of the family's 1533-position model. The record is from RNAcentral.
GAUGAACGCUGGCGGCGUGCCUAAUACAUGCAAGUCGAGCGAACGGACGAGAAGCUUGCUUCUCUGAUGUUAGCGGCGGACGGGUGAGUAACAUGUGGAUAACCUACCUAUAAGACUGGGAUAACUUCGGGAAACCGGAGCUAAUACCGGAUAAUAUUUUGAACCGCAUGGUUCAAAAGUGAAAGACGGUCUUGCUGUCACUUAUAGAUGGAUCCGCGCUGCAUUAGCUAGUUGGUAAGGUAACGGCUUACCAAGGCAACGAUGCAUAGCCGACCUGAGAGGGUGAUCGGCCACACUGGAACUGAGACACGGUCCAGACUCCUACGGGAGGCAGCAGUAGGGAAUCUUCCGCAAAGGGCGAAAGCCUGACGGAGCAACGCCGCGUGAGUGAUGAAGGUCUUCGGAUCGUAAAACUCUGUUAUUAGGGAAGAACAUAUGUGUAAGUAACUGUGCACAUCUUGACGGUACCUAAUCAGAAAGCCACGGCUAACUACGUG